UACGGAGGGUGCGAGCGUUAAUCGGAAUUACUGGGCGUAAAGCGCACGCAGGUGGUUUGUUAAGCUAGAUGUGAAAGCCCAGGGCUCAACCUUGGAAUAGCAUUUAGAACUGGCAGGCUAGAGUCUUGGAGAGGGGAGUGGAAUUCCAGGUGUAGCGGUGAAAUGCGUAGAGAUCUGGAGGAACAUCAGUGGCGAAGGCGACUCCCUGGCCAAAGACUGACACUCAUGUGCGAAAGUGUGGGUAGCGAACAGG
RNAcentral lists this ribosomal RNA (253 nucleotides) under uncultured bacterium. RNAcentral's name for it is "partial 16S ribosomal RNA". It matches the Rfam family "Bacterial small subunit ribosomal RNA", at positions 524 to 776 of the family's 1533-position model. The record is from RNAcentral.